This 253-nucleotide ribosomal RNA is filed under the name uncultured bacterium. RNAcentral's name for it is "partial 16S ribosomal RNA". It matches the Rfam family "Bacterial small subunit ribosomal RNA", at positions 524 to 776 of the family's 1533-position model. The record is from RNAcentral.
UACAGAGGUCUCGAGCGUUAGGCGGAAUCACUGGGCUUAAAGCGCGUGUAGGCGGCCCGGUAAGCCCGCUGUGAAAGUCCAGGGCUCAACCCUGGGAUGCCGGUGGAUACUGUCGGGCUCGAGUCCGGAAGAGGCGAGUGGAAUUCCUGGUGUAGCGGUGAAAUGCGCAGAUAUCAGGAGGAACACCAAUGGCGAAGGCAGCUCGCUGGGACGUAACUGACGCUGAGACGCGAAAGCGUGGGGAGCAAACAGG